CGUGAAAAAUGGUUUAAAAAAUAAUUUUUAAGUGAAACACAUCCUUGCUCGAACUUUCCAAUAACCCUUUGCCCCUUAAAAAAUAAUAGUAUUGAAGGCCCAAACAUGUGGGCCUAACUUGGUAGGCCUGUACACCUAAGCUUUUUUUAUUAAGGCUUAGACGUGCAUGCUAGGCCACCUAGGCAUGCACGUCUAAGCCCUUUUUUAUACUUUGUUUUUUUCUUGAUUUAAUUUCACUUUUCAAUGUUGGUUAUUUAUUUAUUUAUUUUGUUUUGCUUUUUAUGAAGUUAAAAUAGUCUCAUAUAAAUGUCAUGCUAUUUUAUUAGGGCUUGGUUUUAUGAAUAUUUAUUUUUGUUGUUGUUUUUGCUAGUUUUCCAACUGCCUUUGGACUUACCAAGUGAAUUAAAUCACAUCGGGUUAAUCCUCGUUUAGUUUAAAUAUUUUUCUAUUAAAAAAUACGUUAGCAACGUCUAUCCAUUUUUUGAACUAAAAAAAAUGAUUUGGCAUGUGCUAUGCUACCGGGACAACAAUCUAAACACCACUGGAGUCUAACAACAAGGUUAAUAUGCUUAUAUAUGCUAUCUCCAACUAAAACUAAAGGGUGUGGGAAAAACACUGUUCCCCCGUACCCAUAAAACAUUAUGGAUUAUAAUAGUAAUCCAAAGUGUUUUGUCGUUUUUUUUUUAAUGUUUUGGCCCUUUUUCUUGUUAUUGAUUUUUUUUAUUUUUAAUUUAGUCCUUAUAUUUUAUGUUUAUUAGGAUUUAAAGUUGAUAAUUUAUUUUAAUUUAGCUUUUAUUUAAUUAUCACAGUAUUGAAAAAUAUCCCAGCAUUAAGCUGGUACUCAAUUUUGUAAGAUAUUAUUUGAAUUCUUUAUUUUUCUAAAUAUUAAGAGUCAAGUAACUAGAAUUGAAGAAUAGGAAAACGUUGAGAUCUGAAAGGGAGAAAUGAAUAAUUUAGUCAUGCAAACUGAGGCAAUGAGAAAGAAAAAAGAGAAAGAGAAAGAAAAGAAAAAUAGGUUGUCGAAGCCAUACAUGAUUUCCUAUUGCCACAUGCACCACCUUAUAGGGAAGAGGACAUCUCAACGAUUUCAACGUCAUCAAAGACACCACCAAUUAAAGCACAAAGGACAACCUAAACGCUGCCUAAAGGUCCCUUCCAUUCUUGUCAGGAGUAGAAUUUAGGUUCCUUCUCCCUUUUUGUAUAAGUUAGGAACUUGGGGAUUUUUCAUGUAAUUUUAUUAUGCAGUAAACAUGUAACCUGAAUAGAAUAAUAUACUCCUUAUAUUAUUUUGUUUUUGGAAUAUUAAUGUAUUAAUCUAUGCUUGGGAAA
Populus nigra (black poplar) is the source of this 1329-nucleotide long non-coding RNA. RefSeq lists it as uncharacterized. The record is from RefSeq and is a predicted model, not a curated record. NCBI's taxonomy places the organism in Eukaryota, Viridiplantae, Streptophyta, Magnoliopsida, Malpighiales, Salicaceae. The transcript is spliced from 2 exons.